UACGUAGGGACCAAGCGUUGUUCGGAUUUACUGGGCGUAAAGGGCGCGUAGGCGGCUUGACAAGUCACUUGUGAAAUCUCCGGGCUUAACUCGGAACGGCCAAGUGAAACUGUCAUGCUAGAGCGCAGAAGGGGCAAUCGGAAUUCUUGGUGUAGCGGUGAAAUGCGUAGAUAUCAAGAGGAACACCUGAGGUGAAGACGGGUUGCUGGGCUGACACUGACGCUGAGGCGCGAAAGCCAGGGGAGCAAACGGG
RNAcentral lists this ribosomal RNA (253 nucleotides) under uncultured bacterium. Its description in RNAcentral is "partial 16S ribosomal RNA". It matches the Rfam family "Bacterial small subunit ribosomal RNA", at positions 524 to 776 of the family's 1533-position model. The record is from RNAcentral.